This 494-nucleotide ribosomal RNA is filed under the name uncultured bacterium. RNAcentral's name for it is "bacterial SSU rRNA". It matches the Rfam family "Bacterial small subunit ribosomal RNA", at positions 32 to 518 of the family's 1533-position model. The record is from RNAcentral.
AACGCUAGCUACAGGCUUAACACAUGCAAGUCAGGGGCAGCAGGAUUGUGCUGCACAGAUUGCUGGCGACCGGCGCACGGGUGAGUAACGCGUAUCCAACCUUCCCCAUAGUAGAGGAUAGCCCGGCGAAAGUCGGAUUAAUACUCUAUGUUGUACAACGAGGACAUCUGAAUUGUACCAAAGAUUCAUCGCUAUGGGAUGGGGAUGCGUCUGAUUAGGUAGUCGGCGGGGUAACGGCCCACCGAGCCUACGAUCAGUAGGGGUUCUGAGAGGAAGGUCCCCCACAUUGGUACUGAGACACGGACCAAACUCCUACGGGAGGCAGCAGUGAGGAAUAUUGGUCAAUGGGCGCGAGCCUGAACCAGCCAAGUAGCGUGCAGGAUGACUGCCCUAUGGGUUGUAAACUGCUUUUAUCAGGGAAUAAAGUGAGGCACGUGUGCCUUUUUGUAUGUACCUGAUGAAUAAGGACCGGCUAAUUCCGUGCCAGCCGCUGC